This 429-nucleotide ribosomal RNA is filed under the name Actinomycetes bacterium. RNAcentral's name for it is "Actinobacteria bacterium partial 16S ribosomal RNA". It matches the Rfam family "Bacterial small subunit ribosomal RNA", at positions 355 to 776 of the family's 1533-position model. The record is from RNAcentral. Lineage: Bacteria; Bacillati; Actinomycetota; Actinomycetes.
UAGGGAAUCUUCCGCAAUGGGCGAAAGCUUGACGGAGCAACGCCGCGUGAGUGAUGAAGGUCUUCGGAUCGUAAAACUCUGUUAUUAGGGAAGAACAAAUGUGUAAGUAACUAUGCACGUCUUGACGGUACCUAAUCAGAAAGCCACGGCUAACUACGUGCCAGCAGCCGCGGUAAUACGUAGGUGGCAAGCGUUAUCCGGAAUUAUUGGGCGUAAAGCGCGCGUAGGCGGUUUUUUAAGUCUGAUGUGAAAGCCCACGGCUCAACCGUGGAGGGUCAUUGGAAACUGGAAAACUUGAGUGCAGAAGAGGAAAGUGGAAUUCCAUGUGGAGCCGUGAAAUGCGCAGAGAUAUGGAGGAACACCAGUGGCGAAGGCGACUUUCUGGUCUGUAACUGACGCUGAUGUGCGAAAGCGUGGGGAUCAAACAGG